GAGCGGUAGUUCAGUUGGUUAGAAUACCGGCCUGUCACGCCGGGGGUCGCGGGUUCGAGCCCCGUCCGCUCCGCCA
Molecule: transfer RNA, 76 nt
Filed under: Pandoraea pneumonica
Lineage: Bacteria; Pseudomonadati; Pseudomonadota; Betaproteobacteria; Burkholderiales; Burkholderiaceae
Description: Pandoraea sp. LMG 31114 tRNA-Asp
Rfam family: tRNA
About the family: Transfer RNA (tRNA) molecules are approximately 80 nucleotides in length.
Source: RNAcentral